This 1397-nucleotide ribosomal RNA is filed under the name uncultured bacterium. RNAcentral's name for it is "16S ribosomal RNA". It matches the Rfam family "Bacterial small subunit ribosomal RNA". The record is from RNAcentral.
UUCGCCCUUAGAGUUUGAUCCUGGCUCAGGACGAACGCUGGCGGCGUGCUUAACACAUGCAAGUCGAACGGGGUGCCCAUGAAGGAGAUUUCGGUCAACGGAUUGGGUUGCUUAGUGGCGGACGGGUGAGUAACGCGUGAGGAACCUGCCUUUCAGAGGGGGACAACAGUUGGAAACGACUGCUAAUACCGCAUAACAUGUAGGUGUCGCAUGGCAUUUACAUCAAAGAUUUAUCGCUGAGAGAUGGCCUCGCGUCUGAUUAGCUAGUUGGUAGGGUAACGGCCUACCAAGGCGACGAUCAGUAGCCGGACUGAGAGGUUGGCCGGCCACAUUGGGACUGAGAUACGGCCCAGACUCCUACGGGAGGCAGCAGUGGGGAAUAUUGGGCAAUGGGCGCAAGCCUGACCCAGCAACGCCGCGUGAAGGAAGAAGGCUUUCGGGUUGUAAACUUCUUUUGUCAGGGAAGAGUAGAAGACGGUACCUGACGAAUAAGCCACGGCUAACUACGUGCCAGCAGCCGCGGUAAUACGUAGGUGGCAAGCGUUGUCCGGAUUUACUGGGUGUAAAGGGCGUGUAGCCGGGUUGACAAGUCAGAUGUGAAAUCCUGUGGCUUAACCGCAGAACUGCAUUUGAAACUGUUGAUCUUGAGUACUGGAGAGGCAGACGGAAUUCCUAGUGUAGCGGUGAAAUGCGUAGAUAUUAGGAGGAACACCAGUGGCGAAGGCGGUCUGCUGGACAGCAACUGACGGUGAGGCGCGAAAGCGUGGGGAGCAAACAGGAUUAGAUACCCUGGUAGUCCACGCUGUAAACGAUGGAUACUAGGUGUGCGGGGACUGACCCCCUGCGUGCCGCAGCUAACGCAAUAAGUAUCCCACCUGGGGAGUACGAUCGCAAGGUUGAAACUCAAAGGAAUUGACGGGGGCCCGCACAAGCGGUGGACUAUGUGGUUUAAUUCGAUGCAACGCGAAGAACCUUACCAGGGCUUGGCAUCCCAAUGAAUGCCCGGCAAUGCGGGCAGGCCCUUCGGGGACAUUGGAGACAGGUGGUGCAUGGUUGUCGUCAGCUCGUGUCGUGAGAUGUUGGGUUAAGUCCCGCAACGAGCGCAACCCUUACCCCCAGUAGCCAGCAGUAAGAUGGGAACUCUGGGGGGACUGCCGGGGACAACCCGGAGGAAGGUGGGGAUGACGUCAAAUCAUCAUGCCCCUUAUGCCUGGGGCGACACACGUGCUACAAUGGCGCCAACAGAGUGAGGCGAACCUGCGGGGGGGAGCAAAGCACAAAAAAGGCGUCCCAGUUCGGAUUACAGCCUGCAACCCGGCUGUAUGAAGCUGGAAUCGCUAGUAAUCGCAGAUCAGAAUGCUGCGGUGAAUACGUUCCCGGGUCUUGCACACACCGCC